UGCCCAAUGCGGGAAUCGAACCCGGGUCGUAGCGUAGAAAACCAACGGUUUAGACCAUCCUUCUACCGACUCCUCUAAACCUAAUCGAGGC
RNAcentral lists this transfer RNA (91 nucleotides) under Cordylochernes scorpioides. RNAcentral describes it as "tRNA-Phe". The record is from RNAcentral. Lineage: Eukaryota; Metazoa; Arthropoda; Arachnida; Pseudoscorpiones; Chernetidae.